Haliotis rubra (blacklip abalone) is the source of this 624-nucleotide long non-coding RNA. RefSeq lists it as uncharacterized. The record is from RefSeq and is a predicted model, not a curated record. NCBI's taxonomy places the organism in Eukaryota, Metazoa, Mollusca, Gastropoda, Lepetellida, Haliotidae. The transcript is spliced from 10 exons.
UUAGUGAGAUGUACAAUGACCAUGCUGCUGAUCCGCUUGUCUUACACAGGACCAGUUCUUACACAGGACCAGUUCUUACACAGGACCAGGUCUUACACAGGACCAGUUCUUACACAGGACCAGGUCUUACACAGGACCAGUUCUUACACAGGACCAGGUCUUACACAGGACCAGGUCUUACACAGGACCAGGUCUUACACAGGACCAGUUCUUACACAGGACCAGGUCUUACACAGGACCAGGUCUUACACAGGACCAGGUCUUACACAGGACCAGGUCUUACACAGGACCAGGUCUUACACAGGACCAGUUCUUACACAGGGCCUGGUCUUACACAGGACCAGGUCUUACACAGGACCAGUUCUUACACAGGACCAGUUCUUACACAGGGCCUGGUCUUACACAGGACCAGGUCUUACACAGGACCAGGUCUUACACAGGACCAGUUCUUACACAGGACCUGGUCUUACACAGGACCAGGUCUUACACAGGAUCAAGUCUUACACAGGACCAGGUCUUACACAGGACCAGGUCUUACACAGGAUCAAGUCUUUCACGGGACCAGGUCUUACACAGGAUCAGGUCUGAUAUUGUUGGUUGACCAUGACACGCUGCCUGGAAUUG